UGGGUUGUGGCUCAGUGGUAGAGCACUUGCCUCACAUGCAUGAGGCACUGGGUUCGAUUCUCAGCACCGCAU
RNAcentral lists this transfer RNA (72 nucleotides) under Marmota marmota marmota (Alpine marmot). It matches the Rfam family "tRNA". Rfam says of the family: Transfer RNA (tRNA) molecules are approximately 80 nucleotides in length. Their secondary structure includes four short double-helical elements and three loops (D, anti-codon, and T loops). Further hydrogen bonds mediate the characteristic L-shaped molecular structure. tRNAs have two regions of fundamental functional importance: the anti-codon, which is responsible for specific mRNA codon recognition, and the 3' end, to which the tRNAs corresponding amino acid is attached (by aminoacyl-tRNA synthetases). tRNAs cope with the degeneracy of the genetic code in two manners: having more than one tRNA (with a specific anti-codon) for a particular amino acid; and 'wobble' base-pairing, i.e. permitting non-standard base-pairing at the 3rd anti-codon position. The record is from Rfam by way of RNAcentral. Lineage: Eukaryota; Metazoa; Chordata; Mammalia; Rodentia; Sciuridae. RNAcentral also lists the same sequence under 3 other names.